UGCAGUCGAACGAUGAAAUCACUUCGGUGGUGGAUUAGUGGCGAACGGGUGAGUAACACGUGGGCAAUCUGCCCUUCACUCUGGGACAAGCCCUGGAAACGGGGUCUAAUACCGGAUACCACCCUGUCCCGCAUGGGACGGGGUUGAAAGCUCCGGCGGUGAAGGAUGAGCCCGCGGCCUAUCAGCUUGUUGGUGGGGUAAUGGCCUACCAAGGCGACGACGGGUAGCCGGCCUGAGAGGGCGACCGGCCACACUGGGACUGAGACACGGCCCAGACUCCUACGGGAGGCAGCAGUGGGGAAUAUUGCACAAUGGGCGAAAGCCUGAUGCAGCGACGCCGCGUGAGGGAUGACGGCCUUCGGGUUGUAAACCUCUUUCAGCAGGGAAGAAGCGCAAGUGACGGUACCUGCAGAAGAAGCGCCGGCUAACUACGUGCCAGCAGCCGCGGUAAUACGUAGGGCGCAAGCGUUGUCCGGAAUUAUUGGGCGUAAAGAGCUCGUAGGCGGCUUGUCACGUCGGAUGUGAAAGCCCGGGGCUUAACCCCGGGUCUGCAUUCGAUACGGGCUAGCUAGAGUGUGGUAGGGGAGAUCGGAAUUCCUGGUGUAGCGGUGAAAUGCGCAGAUAUCAGGAGGAACACCGGUGGCGAAGGCGGAUCUCUGGGCCAUUACUGACGCUGAGGAGCGAAAGCGUGGGGAGCGAACAGGAUUAGAUACCCUGGUAGUCCACGCCGUAAACGUUGGGAACUAGGUGUUGGCGACAUUCCACGUCGUCGGUGCC
Molecule: ribosomal RNA, 777 nt
Filed under: Streptomyces sp.
Lineage: Bacteria; Bacillati; Actinomycetota; Actinomycetes; Kitasatosporales; Streptomycetaceae
Description: bacterial SSU rRNA
Rfam family: Bacterial small subunit ribosomal RNA
Source: RNAcentral